AGUCGAACGGCAGCACGGACUUCGGUCUGGUGGCGAGUGGCGAACGGGUGAGUAAUGUAUCGGAACGUGCCUAGUAGCGGGGGAUAACUACGCGAAAGCGUAGCUAGCCUGCAUACGCCCUUCGGGAAAGCGGGGGACCUUCGGGCCUCGCACUAUUAGAGCGGCCGAUAUCGGAUUAGCUAGUUGGUGGGGUAACGGCUCACCAAGGCGACGAUCCGUAGCUGGUUUGAAGAGUUGACCAGCCACACUGGGACAGACACGGCCCAGACUCCUACGGGAGGCAGCGGUGGGAAUUUUGGACAAUGGGGAAACCCUGAUCCAGCCAUCCCGCGUGUGCGAUGAAGGCCUUCGGGUUGUAAAGCACUUUUGGCAGGAAAGAAACGGCACGGGAUAAUACCCCGUGCAACUGACGGUACCUGCAGAAUAAGCACCGGCUAACUACGUGCCAGCAGCCGCGGUAAUACGUAGGGUGCAAGCGUUAAUCGGAAUUACUGGGCGUAAAGCGUGCGCAGGCGGUUCGGAAGAAAAGAUGUGAAAUCCCAGAGCUUAACUUUGGAACUGCAUUUUUAACUACCGAGCUAGAGAGUGUGUCAGAGGGAGGUGGAAUUCCGCGUGUAGCAGUGAAAUGCGUAGAUAUGCGGAGGAACACCGAUGGCGAAGGCAGCCUCCUGGGAUAACACUGACGCUCAUGCGAAAGCGUGGGGAGCAAACAGGAUUAGAUACCCUGGCGUCCACGCCCUAAACGAUGUCAACUAGCUGUUGGGGCCUUCGGGCCUUGGUAGCGCAGCUAACGCGUGAAGUUGACCGCCUGGGGAGUACGGUCGCAAGAUUAAAACUCAAAGGAAUUGACGGGGACCCGCACAAGCGGUGGAUGAUGUGGACAAUUCGAUGCAACGCGAAAAACCUUACCUACCCUUGACAUGUCUGGAAUCCCGAAGAGAUUUGGGAGUGCUCGCAAGAGAACCGGAACACAGGUGCUGCAUGGCUGUCGUCAGCUCGUGUCGUGAGAUGUUGGGUUAAGUCCGCAACGAGCGCAACCCUUGUCAUUAGUUGCUACGAAAGGGCACUCUAAUGAGACUGCCGGUGACAAACCGGAGGAGAAUUAGAGGGAUGACGUCAAGUCCUCAUGGCUAUGGGUAGGGCUUCACGUCAUACAAUGGUCGGGACAGGGGUCGCCAACCCGCGAGGAGCCAAUCCCGAAGCCCGAUCGUAGUCCGGAUCGCAGUCUGCAACUCGACUGCGUGAAGUCAGAAUCGCUAGUAAUCGCGGAUCAGCAUGUCGCGGUGAAUACGUUCCAGGUCGCAGCGCACACCGCCCGUCACACCAUGGGAGUGGGUUUUACCAGAAGUAGUUAGCCUAACCGUAAGGAGGGCGGUACCACGGUAGGAUUCAUGACUGGGGUGAAGUCGUAACAAGGUAA
Molecule: ribosomal RNA, 1420 nt
Filed under: uncultured Bordetella sp.
Lineage: Bacteria; Pseudomonadati; Pseudomonadota; Betaproteobacteria; Burkholderiales; Alcaligenaceae
Description: partial 16S-23S ribosomal RNA intergenic spacer
Rfam family: Bacterial small subunit ribosomal RNA
Source: RNAcentral